GGGUGUAUAGCUCAGCCGGUAGAGCAUUGGGCUUUUAACCCGAUUGUCGCAGGUUCAACUCCUGCUAUACCCAACCCCC
RNAcentral lists this transfer RNA (79 nucleotides) under Viscum album (European mistletoe). RNAcentral describes it as "tRNA-Lys". It matches the Rfam family "tRNA". From Rfam's summary of the family: Transfer RNA (tRNA) molecules are approximately 80 nucleotides in length. Their secondary structure includes four short double-helical elements and three loops (D, anti-codon, and T loops). RNAcentral also lists the same sequence under 3 other names. The record is from RNAcentral. Lineage: Eukaryota; Viridiplantae; Streptophyta; Magnoliopsida; Santalales; Viscaceae.